This 89-nucleotide transfer RNA is filed under the name Buchnera aphidicola (Cinara strobi). Its description in RNAcentral is "transfer RNA Leucine". It matches the Rfam family "tRNA". Rfam says of the family: Transfer RNA (tRNA) molecules are approximately 80 nucleotides in length. Lineage: Bacteria; Pseudomonadati; Pseudomonadota; Gammaproteobacteria; Enterobacterales; Erwiniaceae. The record is from RNAcentral.
ACCGAAGUGGUGGAAUAGGUAGACACACUGUCUUGAGGAGGCAGUACUUAAUUUUAAUAAGUAUACGGGUUCAAAUCCCGUCUUCGGUA